Long non-coding RNA from Ailuropoda melanoleuca (giant panda), 7259 nucleotides. RefSeq lists it as uncharacterized. The transcript has 4 exons. Lineage: Eukaryota; Metazoa; Chordata; Mammalia; Carnivora; Ursidae. The record is from RefSeq and is a predicted model, not a curated record.
AUACUGAGCUUUGAGGUGGAAGCCCUUCUCGCAUCUCUGGGAACGUGCUGCCUGCGGCCCCGGGUGUAGUGCGCAGCGGAGAACAGCAGAGAGCAGCUUGAGAUCGGAGCUAGGCCGAGGCUGAGCCAGCCUGCUGAGAUCCCUGGAAUCUGGAAGAAAACUGGCUCCUGGCAGAGAGACCGGGGAAGCAGCAUCGGCCAACAUGACAGGCAGGCCCUCCUUCCCUCACCUCCUUCCCUCACCUUCGCUGCCAGUGCGAAGCCCCGUUUCCCGGCCUUCUAUUUUUUUUUUUUUUGAAGAUUUUUAUUUAUUUAUUUAUUUGACAGAGAGACAGCCAGCGAGAGAGGGAACACAAGCACGUUUCCUGGCCUUCUGACCUCAGAGAAGUUGGCUGGGUCUGUGGUGAAACAGCAAAAGUUGGCUGAAAGCGAUGGUUUUUCUGUAACUGGCCUUUGCUAUUAGACCUGCUGUAUACAGCAGGAGAAAUGCCGUCUCACUUGCUUCCAGCAAGCCCCCUCCAGCAUUAAGAGCAUGGGGGGACAUGGCUUUGCAAGUAUUUUCAGGUGAGUGGAAGGGACGGUCGCUCCCCAUAUGGACAACCCAAGGUCCCAAGCAGAUCCCUCUUUUCUAGCGAAUAAUAGGGCAUUACUCUAGCUCAUGGUUGGGGUGAGAGAGGGCUUGGUUGAUGGGGCACAGGGACCUGGAGUCUCACCUUCCCACCCCCAUCAAAGCUUCCCUGUUCUUAGCUUCUUUCUGUUGGGCAAAAGUAGUGGAUUGCAAAGAUUUCUUCCGAAGAGGUGCUAAGAGAUGGUGUAAAUUUAAUUUCUCAUCCCCUACCCCCCACUUCCCCGAAUCACUUAGCUGGCAUCUCACUGGAAGCAAGCUCGUCCCCACCUGUACCCCAAGAAAGGAUCAACUCAAGGGAAUGUGUUUGCUCACAUAAUGGGGCUUUUAGCUAAGUAGGGCUUCUCAGCAUGUGGUCCCAGACCGCCUGCAUCAGAACUCCUUAUAAAAAUAUGGAUUUCCAGCGUGUGGCAGCGUCUGCUGGAAUUAGACACGUACCUACUCAGUAGGCCAUCGACCCCACACCCAAGUACGUGCAAGAGCACGCAAGAGAGGGAUAAGAACAUUUGAGCAGUGCUCCUCAACAGAGCCUCAAGCUGAGUUCAGUCUGGAUGCCCGUCCACAGAAGAGUGGGGGAACACAUUGUCGUUUGUCCGCAUUCAGCAAUAAAAGUGAACCAAUUACCCUUCCAGGUAGCAACGUGGUGGUCCUCUUGCCAACAUGCUGUGGAGCAGGAGAAACUAGACGUGAAAGAGUGAAUCCACCAUGGUUCCCUUUAUAGGAGAUUUGAGAACAGACUCAGCUAAUCCGUGUUGACAGACUAAUGGCUACCUGGGGUGAGGGGAGGGGUUAUUGCUUGGGAAAGGGCAUUUGGAAUGUUGGAACGGUUCUUCAUCUGGAUCUGAAUGGUGGUUAGACUGGUAUAUACAUAUGGGAAAAAGCAUGUAGAUGCAGGUAUAUAUGCUGGUGUAUUACCUAUACAUAGUACGCCGUGUGUAUACUGGGGUAGGUCCGUACUACACAGGCAGAAGUGUGCAUUUAGCUCUGUGCUUACGCUCUACAAACUUCACUAUAUGUUUCAUACACAUGCACACACACGCUUCCCAGCCUGAUUCUAGACCUGCCGAAAUCAGAAUCUCUCAGUAUGGAGCCUGGGAAUCUGCAUUUUGAAUAUUGGCUGGUGCUGAUGCGGAGCAGAGGCUGACAACCAGCACGGCGGGCUGUGUGUCCUGCGAGAGAGGUGGUUGUCAUUUCCACAAAUCACACCAGACCCCAUUUCCCGCUUGAGUGAGAGCAUUAUGAGAUUUUCGCGAGUCGGUCAUUCGGGAAUAAGAUUGGCACAAGACUUCUCACCUGAAGAUCGCGUACUGGGAUCCUGGGAACAAGAUGGUCACAGUCUCCCCCCAAGAAAGAAGCCACACUCUCACGGAAAUAAAGACAGGAAACUCCUGUCCACUCUUCCUUAAAAAUGAAGAAUUAAAACCAACUGUGUCUAUCCUUCUCUUAGUGGGUAAGUACGUAUUUUAAACUUAUAAUCAGUCUGUAGAUGAUUUGGGGUCCUCCCCUUUUCUCUCCACGUGCCACGUAAUCCCCAUGCUCAGCGUUAUGAACAAGAGGAGGCAGGUAGGGCUGUCUUGUUGAUGUAAUCUCACUGGAUCCUUACAACAAUUCUAUGAGCAGACCUGAGAUUCAAAAUGGUCAAUCAACUCGGCAAAGCUUCACAGCAAAUAGGUAGAGUUGCUGGGAUUUCAGACCGAUGUGUCCAACUCCACUAGAAAGCACCGCUGCUUUGUUGGGAAGGGUCGACUGCAGGAUUCUAGGGUUGCUUUUGUUUGUCUUAACUUAGACCCAUAAGAAUUUAUUUUUGUCAUUAAAGGCUAUAAGUAAACAUUCCCUUAGAUAUCUGCAUCCUAUCCAGCAAGUGGAUGGAUAUGCCAUAAUGUAUUUCGUGAUUCCCCUAAUAUUUACUCUGUUUCCGUUUUUGUCAGUGCAGCUGUCUUAAUGGAUGUAUUUUAACAUCAACCACUGUAUUUACCAUUCUUGCUUGGGACAGAUGAUCACCAAUGGAAUAACUAGAACUAAGACUACACACAUUUGUAAGAUGUAGGAACAAUUUUGCCAAACUGCUCUGCAGAAACAUUCUUUUAGCUUGCAUUCCUCUCAACAGUGAGGGAACGCCUGUCUCCUUCCAUCGCUCGUCAACUGCAGGUACCAUAAUGCCAACUUUGCCAAUAUGGCGCUGCAAUUCCAUUUGCACUAGCAAGGUCGAUCAUUUCUAAUAUACUUAUUAUUUUGGCUUUUCCUUAUAUGACUCUCCUGGUCUUUGGGGUGUCAGUGCAAGCUUUUGACAUCUCUCAAGAAGUUGAUACUGUUUCAUAUUCAUUGUAAGUGUUUCAGGGAUUAUUCUUGUCUUCUAACUUCAUUUACAUUGCUUUCUGGUAAAAUGAGUUAAAUCUUUAUGCAGUCAGAUUUAUCAGGAAAUUUCAUCAUGAUUUUUAUUGCUUUUAAGCUAAAACACUCCUGGGAAACCUGUGACCAAAUCGGAGGAGAUGUUCUUUUGUAUUGUGUUCUACCAAUUGAUCAGGAGUGUACGUGUGUGUGUGUGUGUGCGUGUGUGAUAUUUCUAAACCUAUGAUAUGUUUCACAAUUUAAGACUUUUAAAACUGUAAAGCAAUUUUUUACAAUAAAUUAGUUUGGAUCUGAGUGUGUCCAGGAAGAGCCAAGCAAAAAGAGUCUCAUGGCCACAGGUGACCAAAUCCGAAAUGAAGUCUAGAAGGGACUGAAGUGCUCAGGAGAGCUGACUCUUUUCUUCAGAGAUACUGGGAGUUGCUGUGAACUCAGAAGGCACUCUAUUGCACUUGGAAAAUUUUGAAUUUUUUCAAAAUUAUUUCGGUGCCUAAUUUUUGCUUGAAAAAAAAAGAAAAUUGUUUUAACCUAAAACCGAUUUGAAAAGAAUCAACAUCUGUACUCUAGCUACCAUGUGCACAGGCUGUCUCUCCAAAGGUCGAAUCUUCUGGAAUAUCCUUCAGUAAAGGUUGGUGAUUGUAUUCAUUAACCUACCUCGCCUCUCUUGCUAAAUUUAUUCCCAAGUACUUCAUGGUUCUUGUUGCUGUCGUGAAGGGAUCUCUGUUUUUCAGUAUGACUGCUGCUUCCUGUUGUUGUUCACCAGGAACAUGACUGAAUUUUGGAUAUGCACCAAAAUUUUUGUUGAAUGACUUUGGUUUGUUGUUUUUUUUUUUAACAAAAGUCUUUGUUAAAUAACUAACGACUCUGCUCCCAUACUAAUUUUAAUUUCUGUUUUCUUAGGUUCUCUAGGCAUGUGAUGGGGACUUCCAGGGACUCUGGCAUGUGUUGCCUCCUCUUUUUCGGUGGCUAUAAUCCUGAUUUAUGUCUCCUGGAAGGAAAGUUCUUAAAAAACAUUAACCUUCAGAGUCAGAUAAAUCCAGACUGUUAGCAGCAUACUUGGGCAAGCCACUUAACCUCUCUGUGCCUCAGUUUCCUCUUUGGUAGCCUGGGCCCAUCACAGACUCUUCCUCAUUGGGUAAUUGCGAGGAUAAAAUAAUGCCUACUUUUAGCACAGUGUCUGUCUCAAAGCUCAGCACAUGUUAGAUAAAGCAUAAUUGUUACUAUAUUUUAAGAUGGACUUAAAGAAAAACGACAGAGAAGAGACACCCAGGUUGUUAGUACCACGCUGAGUGGCAAGAGCAGGCAUAAAUUGAUGUAUGAUAAAUGCUCUGUUUCCUUUCCAAGCAUCUUCUUAAUUGACCAACAGCCUCAGGGAAGUGUAAUGGCCAUUCCACAUCACAUAAGUCACUUGGAGGGAAGUGGGACUCAAGCCCAGCCUGCCUCUCUGCAGAGCCUGUGCUCAUCUCUGUUGGUCCAUCCUGGGGGGAGCAUCAGACAUUCAUUCUGCCCAGGGGCUCUCAUCUUUGGGCAAACAUCUGGAACAUCUGAGGAUUGCUAGCAAUGCAUCCACGCCUGGCUCUUCAAGGGUGACUCUGACAUUGCUAUCUUUUCAAGGCUCCCUAGGUGAUUGUAACGUCCAGGGUUGAGAACCACUGAUGGCCCCAGUGUGGUCUCUAUAACAUUGACAUUUCAGACAGUGAUCAUGGAAGUCUGGAAGUCUGGCCCCACAUUCCAGAUGAGUUCAAGUGCAUCCUCCCUUCCUUUGCCACAAAUUAAUUCAUCCUUGCUGCCUGUGAUGAUUGAUUUCAUGCACUAACUUAGCUGGGCCACAGUGCCCGGAUAUGUGGUCAAACAUUAUCCUGGAUGUUUCCAUGAAGGUGUUUUCUGGAUGAGAUUAACAUUUAAGUCAGUAGACCUUGAGUAAAGCAGAUUGCCCUCUGCAAUGCAGCUGGGUCUCAUCUAAUCAGUUGAUGGCUUUCAGAGGAAAAAGACUGGCCUCCUCUGAGCAAGAAGGAACUCUGCUGCAGAAAGCCUUUGGACUUGGUCUGCAACUCUUCUCUGGGUCUGCAGCCUGCUGGUCUGCCUUCCAGAUUUUGGACUUGUGCCUCCACAGAUGAUAUGAGCCAAUCCCUUAAUACACACACACACACACACACACACACACAUAUACAACACUCUACUGGUUCCGUUUUUCUGGAGAACGCCAACGAAUCACUACCAUAAUGGAAAUUGACCUCUUGUUCAACCCAAUCACAACUAAAGCACCCUCCUUUCAUUUUUUUCUUUGGAAAACCAUGACUAGAGAAUGGGUGAUACAGAGGCAUGGAUUUUCAGUCUAGGGAAGAAUAACACAGACCCCUCAGUCCAACUGAAACAGGCACAAAGGUAGAAAUACCUCUGGGGUGACUUUGUCCCUCAGGAGACAUUCGGCAAUGCCUAGAAACCUCUUUGCUGUUGUCACGAGGGGUGGGGGAUGGGGGUGCGAGGGUGCUACUGGCAUCACGUGGGCUGGGGGCCCAGGAUGAACAAAACAUCCUGACGCGCACAGAAUGAUCAUUAAAAUGCAAUCGCACCCAGGUUGCGAAACCCGGGUUAGGAUGGGGAAGUAGUUAGUCGUUGAGGAAAUUAACUUCUCACCCCGUGAAAGGAGGGGGUUGCUGUCAAAUCAGGAAGGAGCUCUGAAGAGGCCACAGGAAUCUAACAGGCGGCCUGGACAAACAGGCGGGGCCGAUAUCUCCGAAAAGGCCAAGCGGCUUCAGGAAAACUCUUGCGAGACCAGCCCGAGCGUGGCGGGAGGACUGGGAGUCCAGCCAGUGGGAACCUCGCAGGCAUGAUAUGGCUCGAAUUAGGCUCCUAAGCGGCCAAGAGCUCGGAAGCUCUCCCAGAGGAGUCAGGACUGAACACGAGACCAGAGGUGGAACAAGGAAACCCAGUCCAAAAAUCUGAAAAAUAAACCAUGAAGUGCAGUGGAAAGGACUCCGCAGAUUCCAAAGAAAGUGAUCUGGCGAGAAUGAAAUUGGUCUAUGAGGUGGUGACACUGUUAUGCCCAUGCUACAGAGGAGGACACUGUGCCACAGAGAGGCCGAGGGACUGGCACAAGGGCUCGCAGGUCCUAAGUGGCUGAGCGGAAGCUUGAACCCAGGCCGGCGCCACCCACUGAGCUGUGGCAACGUGAAGGGACAGGUCCUAUCACCGUCAGCAAGCUUUCCCAGAAAGUAGAGCUGUUCAUUUUGUCACCCUGAAAAGCGCUGGGAAUUUGAAACCGCUUAUCUGCCUGAAGGAAGGUAGCGCGGUUAACUCGGAGGCCACUCUCCAAGGAGCCGGAGCUCCGGCCUGGAGCUUGAGCGAGUCUGCUCUCAGGUGCGUGACUUUGGGCAAGUCACUGCUCCCCUCUGGGUCGGUUCAGCGCCAGCCAGGGAGAGAAGUUAUGGACAGCCACUUCCACCAAUAAGAGGAACUCUUCAGGCCAAGCACCGCCUCCAUCCAGGCUGCGGGACCAAAAGGGAAAGUGAAGUCUGCACAUGUCCAGUUUAAGCAUCUGGGACAGCCCCUGGUGCAGGACCGGAACCCAGGGCAGCCUCGGGCCGUGGGUCUCCUUCCACCCCUGGGAUCUGCAUCUGCUCUGGCUUCUGGCCUCUGAGCUCAGAUUCAGCAGGGCUUGGAUCAGGGAGGUUGAGGCAGGACAGGUGUGCAGGGACGGCUCGGACAGGGGCUCAAGUCCACCCUCGAGUCUGCUGCUGGCCUGUGGACACGCUGUGCUCAGCCGGCAGGGCCUUUAACGCUUGCUGACUCUGGGAGCCUUCUUGGCACAGGGGCGUCCCAUACACCAGACACAACCCCCCCAAACACACACACGCUUCACACUCAACUGUAGUUGCAUAUUGGUGUUGACCUCCUGGGUCCUGGGGCCUAUGAGUUUUCAACCCCAAUGGGAAGCACGGAACAAUUUAAGAGAAGGAGGGUGGAGGCAGAUCACUUGAUUCAAUUUGAGCUUUAGUGAGAACAGGUGAGACCCCCUGCUAGUGAUGAGGAAGCCAGGGAGAAUACACGGAGGAGCCGGAGCUGGGGGCGGGUAGGAAAUGAGGAUGAGCGUGAAACAAAGUCCCUAUCGGGUCGGCCCAGUGUGGUCCCCAAGACACGGGGAGGCAGCUGGCCUGUCCCCUUCCCCGCCCCUUCCCAUACCUUCAGAGCCAGCCAUGCUCAACCAUUCUGCUCUCCCACCUUCCCCGGGGCAUCGACGCCUGUGGGUCUUGGCUCGUGCUCUCCCACCCCGCACCCCUUCUCUACCU